This is an RNA transcript of Panicum virgatum (switchgrass), 7341 nucleotides long. RefSeq lists it as uncharacterized. The record is from RefSeq and is a predicted model, not a curated record. Lineage: Eukaryota; Viridiplantae; Streptophyta; Magnoliopsida; Poales; Poaceae. The transcript is spliced from 16 exons.
CGAGAUCGACGUCGGGUCGCGGCGCCCUCGCGACGCUGCUGCCGUCGCGGCGCAACGUCGGGUCGUGGCGCCCUCGCGAGGCUGCUGCCCUCACUCCGCCCUCGUCUCGCCGCUGCCCUCACUCCGCCCUCGUCGCGGCGCCGCCCCUCUCCACUGUCCUGCUGCCGCGGGGGCGCCCUCCGUCCGCCCCCUCGUCGCCGCCGCACUCGCCCUCGCCCUCGGAUGGGGCCGCCUCACUCGCCCUCGGAUGGGGCCGCGCUAGGACACAGGGUCGUCCACCGCGCGCACCGCCGGGGGAGACGGGUCGUCCGCAGCGCACGCCGCCAGGGACGGGCCCUCCGACAUGGGUGCCGCCUGGGGAUGAAACCCUACUCCGCGCGCGCCGCCGACGAACGAGGUCCUCCUUCGCUCGCGCCUCCAUUGGAUGGGGCCCUUCUCCGCCCACACUGCCGGGGGGGGGGGGGGGGCUCCGCUCACACCGCAAGCUCAGGUCAGGCAUGUCUCUCUCCCUCUCUGAUUUCUUCAAAUUGAGAUCCCGAUCUAGGGUUUGGGCUAUGGAGCAGCUGCUGGACUAUGGAGACCCGUCAAUCCGUGGCACCAAUUGUUGGGAGCGAGAUUGCUUAAUCCCCCAACCCCCCUUUACUACUACUGCCCUACGAUUUCUUCUUGUUAUGGCGCGGGCAGAAUGUCGCAGGGGGCUCGCCGUCGCUGUCCACGGUCGCCGGCGGCGCUUCAGCAAAGAACAGAGCUACACGGGCGCCACAGUCGCGUGACCCAUCCUGUUCCGGCCGUCAGUCCGGUACGGUCAUCCCACACGGUGCUCAGACUACACUCGGUAGUGCUGGAGUCCAUGAAGCAGAACCACGGAUCAAGCAGAGCUCCUCCGUCCAGAGGAUGUAUCUAUCAUCUCUAAUUGAAGGUUCUAAGGGGACGAGAUAUGGUUGGGGAUUGGGGGCGUCAUCUUCUGAUCUAGGGCUCAAGCUUAUCAAUUGGAGGCUAAUAAUGGCAUCAGGUUGCAAAUGAGGUGCACUACCAAUGAUGCAGCUGCAAAGGCACGACAAGAAUUUCUAGAAGAACUGGCUGCAAAGUGUUUAAGGUUUCAAAACAAGUUGGCUGAAGGACGAUGCUACUUUUCAUGAUGGAUUUCAGACAUUGUCAUUUUUCAUGAGAUUUGUUGGUAAUGAAAAUUCAGAUCAAACUACUCUGAAUUCAAAAUAUUUGGUGGUGGGUUCUAUUUGAUAAAUCCUAUAUGGUCACAAGCUUUGAUAUUGGCAAGGGUGCUCAAUAGAAGACCAUGGCAUAACAACGAUGAUAAUGUUAAUAUGUGCGUGGAUAUCAUAUUUCACGAGUAUCCUCCUGAUGGCUUUGAUCCAGGAAUUACUUUAGGUUACAAGAAAUGAGAGAAUAUUGGGAAAUAUCAGUGCAAACUUUGCUUUGUGGACUGAUGGCAAAUGUGAUGCACAACCAAAGUGGCUUCAAAGAAACUUCAUAAAACAAUAGCAAGAUAUGUGAUUAACAUGAUGAGGACAAUUAGUUCAUUUCACUGGGAAUUGUGCAUUGUCUGCAAUGUUUACUGCAACAUCUUGCGACUGUUCCACUGCCUCGGAUGUAUAUAGGACAGCCUGGCAAGAAUGAUCUGUAUGUCAAAGUUAUAUACAUACAAGCGAGUUAAUAAGAUAUUAGUGGAUGUUUGUAGUAGCAGUACCAGAAGGGGCAUUUAAUCUGGUUCUAUGAUUACCAUCUCAGGUUCCUGCCCAUGUGCUUCAAGGACAAUGAAGGUUCAUGCAUGCUGCCAUCCUGCUUGAAGCUGCUUGGCUGUCUUAGAUGAUGAUUUAGUUGGGUAAGUAUAACUGUCGAUUUUUACUCCUGUCAUUUUGUUGGCUGCCAAAACUGAGGAAGUUUAACUGUUUAUCAUUUUUAUGCUUGAUUUACUGUCUUUGAUUAUACCUUUUUGUGCUUACAAGUCGUAAAGGAAGUCAGAAAAACCGUGCAUAAUUGCUUGUUAUCCUUAAGGGCUGACUUGACCAGUCACCCAUGAAGUUCAGAUGCAAAACAUAAGCAUAUUAGCAUGCAGAACUUUUGGCCAUGCCAAAUUUAGAACCAUGGUAGCUGAAUGGAGAGAAGGUGCGGCACCAUUUUUUUUACCCUUUAGACAACGUAGCGCUUCUGUAACUAUUGUUUUGCAUGUUAUUGAGGCAGGGAUACAAUAUGUGAAAGAAAGAAAAAAUUAGUUCAAUGAAUUAAUAAAAUGAGGUCAAGAUUUUUAGUAGUACGAUGCAAUUCAAUUAUUUUUAAAUAAAUUCACUUUAAACACGUGCCUAAAAACCAUUUGUAGAUUACUGUAAAUCAUCUAACUUGUAAAUGUUACUGAACUUUUGUUGCCAUUGCAUCUCAUGAUCACAACAUCGUCGUUGUGUGAAUUGUUGCUAAAAUAAACUACUAAUUUAUUCAACUUAUAUUACGAGGCAUCCCAAUAGUUUCUGCAUUUAUAUCUAUAUACAACUACAAGCAGCAGAUAGAAGAGGUGAAGUGGACUUAUGUAUAUUCUUACUAACCUGGAGAUUAUGCUAAAGGGGAUGCAACUAAUGCAUAGAAAGUUUGCAAUUGGGCCCUUGCAAAAAGUUAAUGCAUAUAGUAGAUAGAAUUUGCAUGGUUAGAUGCAGAUUCUUUAUAAUCCUCUUUCUUGUACAGUACUGAACAAUAUAAAUUUUCUUUCUUUUUAUUCAAUUCAAGAGAGUAUUUCCUUUUGUACAAGAUAAUAAUUUAUUUGACCUCAGUUUAUCAUUUCUUUGCCAAAAAAAUCAUUUGCAAAAACCUAUCACAAUUUACUACUAAUUUUUUCUGGAUCAGCUUUGUACCCUGUGAUCUGAUCCCGUUGCUUCUUAGAAAGUCAAACUGUGCUACUAUUUGUGUGAUUUGUUUUUUGUAUACCAGACUGAAGGUGAAGAUGAGAGCCCAAGCCUAAAGGUCACCCUUCUCAGACUUUCAGCUCUCUAGACUUGUCAGCUUCACAGCUCUUGAUGCAUGAAAACAAUGUCAACUUCACAGCGGAUUAUAGGCUAUUAGGCUGCUUGGAACUAUUGAUGCAAACACUUAAAAAUCAGAAUGCAUAUACUACUGUUUUCUGAAAUUGUGUAGGCUGGUGGAGUGAGAUAUCUUCCUGAAUCUUUAAUUUGUCAAAUUCUUCAUUUGUGAACUCAACAUCGGUACAUCCAUAUCCAUACUAGGUCAAGACAGACCUAUUUUUCGCAAUACAGUAUGGUGAAAGUACAUCGUUUUAAACAUGCUACUAUAAAAAAAAGGACUAUAUGCUCCUCUGUGAGAAAAAUGUGGUGGAGUUUGAGCUGUGCAAGGGUCCUAUAUAUGUUGCCACAACAAUUAUACAAGGUGGUAUUUUAGUUCCAAAUUGGAAAAAGAUUAUAGUUCAUGUUUAAAAUAUUCAUGCUUCCAACUAAGUACAAGCACUCGAACAAUUUCAGCUACUUGCAGUUCUUUCGUAUACAUUAAAAUGAGUCGUAUGACUAAGCUUAUUAUAUUGAAAUUUUAAUGAUUAUCAUGUACUGCACGCACGUGCCGCGCGGACAAACUUAUUAGUGGUUAUCAUGUUUCUUUUAAAAUUUCUAAGCUAAACAAUAUAUUAACCGUAGCAACGCACGAGCACUUAGUAUAUAUAUAUCUAUCUAUCUAUAUACUAUAAGGAUCCAUGACAAUUGAAACAAUCCUCACCAAAAUUAGCCCCCAUACCCACCUCACAAACCUCCACUUUUGGACCUACAUGUAAGGAUAAAAGUUUGACAGGAGAGGAUGGCAGACGGAUUUUUGUCGUCCCCGCCCGUUCAAUGAGGCGCUGUGCUCCCGAUCGAAAGAAAUUUUUUUCACCGCACCGAUGUUUACCCUUCCUCUGUACCCGCCCGCCCAUUGGUCCGAUUUCCUACCAUCACGCAGCGCCUAGCCUUCCCGUCAAUCACGCCGCCUCCACUAACCCCCUCGCGACGCGCCUUCCCCGGACGUCGCCUCCUCCCUCGCCCACGCUCGCCUCGCGCCCUCCCCUCCAUCCCCACGCCGCGGCCAUCGCUCCAUCCCCGGCCGCCUCUCCAUCAUGGGCCGCCAAGCCUCCUGCUCCUCCGUUCCGCCCGCAUGCUCCUCCGGCCCCGUGCGCCCCACCGCCGCGCUACUCCUCCUGCACCUCGCACCCUUACCUCCCCCGCCACCGAGCCCCUACUUGGGCCCCGACUGAAACCCGGCGACGGUCGGCGGAUCCAGCAGCAGUGUUGGUGGCGGCCCCUUGGCAACGAUGAAGGCCUGGUGGAGGUCGUCACAAAUGGCGGGGAUAGUGGCGAAGAUCCAGUGGACUCCCGCGAGAUGGCGGCGGGGCUCCGGCAGGCGCGGCCCGCGGCAUGGUCCCUCGCCGGCGGGACCAAGUGGUGGGCGCCCCUGCCGCGCGUCCUCGCGGCGCCCCCUCGCCGGCGCCCCCACGCUCCAGAUCUCGCCCUCCCGCAGUGGCCGGCGGCGUGGAUCCGCUUCCUCCCUGGCCAUCUCGAGUCCAUGGCAUCCAUGGCCGGCGAGGCCCUCCUCCCUCACCCCUCCCUGGCAGGUGCGGCCCUCCUCCCUCCCCCUCCCUGGACGGCGUGGGUCCAUGGCCGGCGCGCCCUCCUCCGACCAUGCGCACGCGGCGGCCUGAGCUCCGGCGGUGGCGUCCAUGGCUGGCGCGGCUCCGUGCUGCCUCCGGGCACAAGGAAAGGGUAGACUUUGUUUUUUCUUCUAUUUUUUUGUUCGUGCUUGUGCAGGAGGUUGGCAUCUGCCUACAUGUGAAUAGCCUGUGCAAGCACAAGCACCUUUCUUUCGAAGCCCAUCAAGUGGUGAAGUAGCUUAUCAGCGUAGUGUUCGGAACUUGGAAAAAAAUUGAAGGGUAUUUAGUAGUGGACUGAUUGGGUUUUGUCUGAUGAAUCUGAUGAUAAUGGCUGCACCUUCAUGAUGCAUAUCAACAACGUCAGGUUGAUAAGAACAUUGAGAAUAGCAUGAAUAUUUGGGUGGGAUUUAGCAUACGUUUGACCCUGUUGAUACUGCAAUCAGUGUGUGCAAUGAUCUACAGUCGUGCCUGCUUCCAAGUUCCAAUGCCUUGUUAUUGUGGUCGACUCCACAAGCAGAUCAAGGUGUAGACUCUAAAAGUUUCAUAGAAUUACUUGGCAGCAAACCCAGGAUGUGUCCUGGAAGAUUUCGUUAGAUGGCACUCUCCACUUGAUUGGUUUGAAGACUGUACUGCAAACAGUACCACUGUAGGGGAAGGCUCAUCUAGACGUGGGCGGUUAAGUGAUAGAUGCAAACAAAAGAGGGAAACUUGUGGGAGGCUGAGAAACCUAUACCUGCCGUUGAACAGACUCCAAUAUAUGAUGAAGAUUUAGCAGUGGAGAGCAUCUUUGAUUCCUUGGAAGUUAUUGAGCCAUCUAAAUUGUUUUAGCUACUACUUGCUGUCAUUGUAAGUUCGAUGAUCGCCCUUUUUCUUUUUGUCUUGUUUUUGCAGCUAGCUGCUAACUCUCGAUCUUAUUUAUCUUGGGACAAACUCUAAUGUCUUACUGACUGCUAUUUGCGAAUAGCAGCUUUCUGUAAGCUUUGUGGCAGCAGAUAGCAGCCUGUUAAAAUUAUUCUAGGAUUGCAGGGACUACAUAGCUGACACAUAGCUUCCAGGAUGUAGUCACCUUGCAUCAAUCCAAAUGUUGUGCUGAGUUUGCUCCUUGUGAUAUCCUCCUCGACAUUGUGCUGACCUCUGGCCCUUCAUCAAUAGAUUUUAUUUAGAGAACAAGAGUUCCAGCCAAGUGUUUUUUUUUUUUUGGCUUCUACUGCUUUGUAGACAGUGGACAGUGGUGAGGCUGCACAAGCAUGGUUUCUAAGACAAAGUGAUUGUGCUUCAUGUGGUCAAGACAGAGAGAGUGGAACACUUAUUCUGCAUUGCCCAUUCAGCAAAGAAGUCUGGUUCAGACUUCUCAGGAUGGCAGCUUUAAGUACUACCAACAAAUCCUAGCAAGUCUAAUCAACUCAGAAAGAAAUACGGUAUGCCUUGUGCCAUUUGGUCGCCAUGACUUGAAAAAUGUGUUUUCUACUCUGUAUAUUUUUUUUUGUAUUGGAAGUCAUUAUUUUAAACUAUUCUUUUAUAUGCAGAAAGAUACCUAGUUACAAGUUAAGCCUUACUAAAUUUCUUUAAACCAUUUGGAUGUUCAUUUAUUUUAUGUCAAUAGUUUGUUGUCAUGAAGAAGAAUAUUCCUCAUAUAUUAGAAGCUGAGCCUCGUAUAUGUAUGAUUGGAAUACUAUGGUCAGAUUUGAGCAUCCUCCUCCUUUUCUGUAUAUAGAAGCAAGAGCUUUGCUCCAAUGUGUUGAAGUGAGAAAUAUUCAUAUUGUGUCAUCCGUGGAGGCAUGAGGGGCCAUGGCGGCAGGUAUGGCAGCUCUGAUGCUGUUGCAAUUGGGACUUGGGAGGGCAAAAUAAGAUAGUAAUAUUUUUUAAUAAAAGAGAGAUAUGAAUUUAUGUGUGAAUAAAUAAUUUUUUAGUCUCACCUUGCUUUGUUAUAUUUCUCCUUUUCUUUAUGGAUAGGAUAUUUGAAUUCAGGAUACAUGAAGCUUUUUUGUAUUUUCAAUUGAUCUACUAAUAUAAGCAGCAGAGAAGCAUGCUUGGUCGGGCCUGCUAGCUUGCCCUGUAGGAAGAAUCUAGAUAUAUUCUUGUGUUUGAAAUAUUGACGAUCGAGCAAACAUGUUUUCUUUAUAUACUUGCAUUGUACGUUUAUGGUUCUUUCCAAACUAAGAUAUGGUUCUUCGGUUGAUCCAUCAAUUUGUAUUUCAUAAAUGGUGGCUAAUUAAAAACAAAUUGUAAGUUUCCAGACUUGAUUUUUGGUUAUUUAAGUUUCCAAACAAUUUAUAUGGCCCAUUCUGAUUUUGGUUCGUUUCUAUCUUAACUUGGUGUUUGCAUUAUGGGUGCAGACUAAGCUCAUCAAGGAGUGGGAAAACUACCAGUUGAUGGAUCCUGCACGUUAUGGCUUUUCUGGAACAAUGGUCUUUCUGAAGCAUAGGAUAAUAAUCGAAUGGGAGGGACCCAAAGGAGGCUGAUGCUACUGCAUUAUGGGAGGGUGUUUGUCUGGACCAACGUUGGCACAUAUCCUUAGUGCCCCCUCGAGGAAAGGCGACAGCUAGAGCAUGAGUUAGAGUUUGCCUUUUUUUUUUCUUCUAUCUUCCAUAGUGCGUGAAGACUCCCAUCUGUAAUUAUAUUUUCUUAACAUUAAUAAUUAUCUAUUAUGUAAAAAAGUUUGUUCAUUGAAAUAUAAAGUUUGUUUUUUAGGUUUAAAAAUUUAUUGUAAA